Harpia harpyja (harpy eagle) is the source of this 1237-nucleotide long non-coding RNA. RefSeq lists it as uncharacterized. The transcript is spliced from 5 exons. The record is from RefSeq and is a predicted model, not a curated record. NCBI's taxonomy places the organism in Eukaryota, Metazoa, Chordata, Aves, Accipitriformes, Accipitridae.
GUGAGAAGAAUAAAACCAGAGAGCUAAGUGAAAGGACUACGUGCAAGAAACACAUAUUUUUCAAUGGCUCUGAGUAUAUUUGGGCUGGAGAGCAGAAGAUGAUGUAAGCUUCAGGAAGAAGCAACUCAGUUGUCACAUCAGAUGAUGAAAUUAAGUUUUUUAUUCCCUGCCUAAAUCUUCCAUCUGGUAGCAAUAGCUCUACAGUGCUGGCAUUUAUCAAGAGAAGACACACAGCACAGCCUUGCAUAAAUAAUGGCACUGGGCCAAGUACAGCUGAGGUGGUUGCCAGCACAACUCCAUUGAAGUCAAAGGAAUUGCACCGGGGGUGUUUCCUUCUGUCCCAUGUUGCCCUUUCCCUUUGAGAGUACAAAGGCAUGUCAAAGAAGAAGGAGCACGUAAUGAGUCAUGCUCCAUCGCAGAGAAGUAAAGAAGGCCACUGUUCUUGCGUGUCUUAUACACGUUUUCUUUGACAAGUUAUCAGAUUUUCUUGAAGUCAUUACUUGUUCCUUGCAAUGGAGAUGUCUACUGGCUGCUAAAUGAGGUUUUGAAUGACAGUCAACAUCUCUGCAUCCAAAAGCAACGGAUGUUGUUUCACCUCCCUUUGAUAUUCCCUGUGAAAUUCAGUUGUUCUCAGGUCAAGAACAGGACUCUCCAAAUUUCAGAGAAGAACCCGCGUUUACUGGAAUCCUUGGCACGAGUUCACUAGGAAAGGAACUUCCUGGGUAGAACAUUUGAUUGUGCCCUUGUAGCGAACAACUAAUUAAAACCCUGAAGAUAACGUGCAGUGGUCUCUGACAGCCAGCUGACAAACAGACCGAUUUCCCUGCCUCUGAAUACCAGAGGACAGGUUUGGAUCUUGCCUAGAGCCAAGGGACGCUGCGUGCUGCCAAAGCACCUGCAGCAGUGGCAAAGGUGGGUUUCCACAUGUGCGCGGUACCACCCCGUGCCAGGGGCUGACGUCCCCCCCACGGGGUCUGUGGCCAAGGCUUGGCGGCUCGGCACCGAAGACCUGGAGGGAGAUGAGGAGCAGGGCUCUGCGCUUGGGUGGCUGAGGAGUGCUCUUGGGUUUUCUUAGGCCAGUUUUGGUGAUGGAGGAACAGUAACAUCUUAAAACAGCAGAGUUAUUGAGGGGACGGGGGGCAGUGAAGAUCUGUUCGUGGUUUGGCCCGUCAGCAUCAGGAGAGUGAAAAGAGGGAACAGUACAGGAAAAAGUACAUGGCCCAAGCCUUUUGUGGCU